UAAUAGUGUAUAUUAAAGUUGUUGCAGUUAAAAAGCUCGUAGUUGUAUGUUGGUGCCGAACAAGCGGUCAGCUUCGGUUGUACUGCUUUCUCGGCUCCUUCCUUCUGUGGACUGCGUCGCACUUAAUUGUGUGGCGUCUGGACGCAGAUCGUUUACUGUGAAAAAAUUAGAGUGUUCAAAGCAGGCCGUACGCUUGAAUACAUUAGCAUGGAAUAAUGGAAUAGGACGUCGGGCCUAUUUUGUUGGUUCUAGGACCGUCUUAAUGAUUAAUAGGGACAGUUGGGGCCGUUCAUAUUCCGUAGUCAGAGGUGAAAUUCUUGGAUUUACGGAAGAUGAACUACUGCGAAAGCAUUCGGCAAGGAUGUUUUCGUUAA
This 374-nucleotide ribosomal RNA is filed under the name uncultured eukaryote. RNAcentral's name for it is "partial 18S ribosomal RNA". It matches the Rfam family "Eukaryotic small subunit ribosomal RNA", at positions 592 to 976 of the family's 1831-position model. The record is from RNAcentral.